RNAcentral lists this ribosomal RNA (438 nucleotides) under uncultured bacterium. RNAcentral describes it as "bacterial SSU rRNA". It matches the Rfam family "Bacterial small subunit ribosomal RNA", at positions 954 to 1392 of the family's 1533-position model. The record is from RNAcentral.
GCACAACGCGAAGAACCUUACCUAGGCUUGACAUGCAUCUCUAAGCACGUGAAAGCGUGUGACCCUUCGGGGAAUUUUGCACAGGUGCUGCAUGGCCGUCGUCAGCUCGUGUCGUGAGAUGUUGGGUUAAGUCCCGCAACGAGCGCAACCCUUGUGACUAGUUGCCAGCACGUUAUGGUGGGAACUCUAGUCAGACUGCCCAGAUCAACUGGGAGGAAGGUGGGGACGACGUCAGGUCAGUAUGGCCCUUACGCCUAGGGCUGCACACGUACUACAAUGCCCAGCACAAUGAGAACCGAGACCGCGAGGUGGAGGAAUCUAAAAAACUGGGCCCAGUUCGGAUUGGAGGCUGCAACUCGCCUCCAUGAAGUUGGAAUCGCUAGUAAUGGCGCAUCAUCUACGGCGCCGUGAAUACGUUCCCGGGUCUUGUACACACCG